AGAGUUUGAUCAUGGCUCAGGACUAACGCUGGCGGCGUGCCUAACACAUGCAAGUCGAACGCAUCUGUGCUUCGGUACAGAUGAGUGGCGAACGGGUGAGUAACACGUGAGUAACUCCCCUUGGGGAGGGGGAUAACCAUCUGAAAAGGUGGCUAAUACCCCAUAUUCUCCUUUUUUGCCAAAGAAAGGAGGAAAGAUGGCGUAAGCUAUCACCCCGAGAGAGGCUCGCGUCCCAUCAGCUAGUUGGUAGGGUAAUGGCCUACCAAGGCUAUGACGGGUAGCUGGUCUGAGAGGAUGGUCAGCCACACUGGGACUGAGACACGGCCCAGACUCCUACGGGAGGCAGCAGUGAGGAAUCUUGGGCAAUGGGCGAAAGCCUGACCCAGCGACGCCGCGUGGAGGAAGAAGGCCUUCGGGUCGUAAACUCCUGUUCGGGGAGAAGAACAGGAGAGGAGUGAAUAACUUCUCUCCCUGACGGUAUCCCCGGAGAAAGCUCCGGCUAAUUACGUGCCAGCAGCCGCGGUAAUACGUAAGGAGCGAGCGUUGUCCGGAUUUACUGGGCGUAAAGAGCUCGUAGGUGGUUUCUUAGGUCUCACGUGAAAUUCCCUGGCUCAACUGGGGAGGGUCGUGGGAAACCGAGAAGCUAGAGGGCAGGAGAGGAGAGUGGAAUUCCCGGUGUAGCGGUGAAAUGCGUAGAGAUCGGGAGGAACACCAGUGGUGAAGACGGCUCUCUGGACUGUCCCUGACACUGAGGAGCGAAAGCCAGGGGAGCAAACCGGAUUAGAUACCCGGGUAGUCCUGGCUGUAAACGAUGGGUACUAGGUGUGGGGGGUUCGACCCCCUCCGUGCCGCAGUUAACGCAUUAAGUACCCCGCCUGGGGAGUACGGGCCGCAAGGUUGAACUCAAAUGAAUUGACGG
RNAcentral lists this ribosomal RNA (919 nucleotides) under bacterium enrichment culture clone L55B-5. Its description in RNAcentral is "bacterial SSU rRNA". It matches the Rfam family "Bacterial small subunit ribosomal RNA", at positions 8 to 916 of the family's 1533-position model. The record is from RNAcentral.